CGGGGGGGGCAAGCGUUGUUCGGAAUUACUGGGCGUAAAGGGCUCGUAGGCGGCCAGCUAAGUCAGACGUGAAAUCCCUCGGCUUAACCGGGGAACUGCGUCUGAUACUGGAUGGCUCGAGUUUGGGAGAGGGAUGCGGAAUUCCAGGUGUAGCGGUGAAAUGCGUAGAUAUCUGGAGGAACACCGGUGGCGAAGGCGGCAUCCUGGACCAACACUGACGCUGAGGAGCGAAAGCCAGGGGAGCAAACGGGAUUAGAUACCCCGGUAGUCCUGGCCCUAAACGAUGAAUGCUUGGUGUGACGGGUAUCGAUCCCUGUCGUGCCGAAGCUAACGCAUUAAGCAUUCCGCCUGGGGAGUACGGUCGCAAGGCUG
This 372-nucleotide ribosomal RNA is filed under the name uncultured organism. Its description in RNAcentral is "bacterial SSU rRNA". It matches the Rfam family "Bacterial small subunit ribosomal RNA", at positions 526 to 896 of the family's 1533-position model. The record is from RNAcentral.